Molecule: transfer RNA, 71 nt
Filed under: Parafilimonas terrae
Lineage: Bacteria; Pseudomonadati; Bacteroidota; Chitinophagia; Chitinophagales; Chitinophagaceae
Also listed under: 3 other names
Rfam family: tRNA
About the family: Transfer RNA (tRNA) molecules are approximately 80 nucleotides in length.
Source: Rfam by way of RNAcentral
UGCCCGGUAGUAUAAUGGUAGUAUCUCAGAUUCUGGCUCUGAUGGUCUUGGUUCGAAUCCAGGCCGGGUAA